This 492-nucleotide ribosomal RNA is filed under the name uncultured bacterium. RNAcentral's name for it is "bacterial SSU rRNA". It matches the Rfam family "Bacterial small subunit ribosomal RNA", at positions 28 to 534 of the family's 1533-position model. The record is from RNAcentral.
GACGAACGCUGGCGGCGUGCUUAACACAUGCAAGUCGAGCGGUAAGGCCCCUUCGGGGUACGACGAGCGGCGAACGGGUGAGUAACACGUGAGCAAUCUGCCCUUCACUUUGGGAUAACUCUGGGAAACGAGAGCUAAUACCGAAUACGACCACUUCAGGCAUCUGAUGGUGGUGGAAAGUUCCGGCGGUGAAGGAUGAGCUCGCGGCCUAUCAGCUAGUUGGUGGAGUAACCGGCCCACCAAGGCUUCGACGGGUAGCCGGCCUGAGAGGGUGACCGGCCACACUGGGACUGAGACACGGCCCAGACUCCUACGGGAGGCAGCAGUGGGGAAUAUUGGACAAUGGGCGAAAGCCUGAUCCAGCAACGCCGCGUGAGGGAUGACGGCCUUCGGGUUGUAAACCUCUUUCAGUAGGGACGAAGCGCAAGUGACGGUACCUACAGAAGAAGCACCGGCCAACUACGUGCCAGCAGCGCGGUAAUCACGAGAGUA